CCGAGUUUACAACUCCCAAACCCAAUGUGAACGUUACCAAACUGUUGCCUCGGCGGGAUCUCUGCCCCGGGUGCGUCGCAGCCCCGGACCAAGGCGCCCGCCGGAGGACCAACCAAAACUCUUAUUGUAUACCCCCUCGCGGGUUUUUUACUAUCUGAGCCAUCUCGGCGCCCCUCGUGGGCGUUUCGAAAAUGAAUCAAAACUUUCAACAACGGAUCUCUUGGUUCUGGCAUCGAUGAAGAACGCAGCGAAAUGCGAUAAGUAAUGUGAAUUGCAGAAUUCAGUGAAUCAUCGAAUCUUUGAACGCACAUUGCGCCCGCCAGUAUUCUGGCGGGCAUGCCUGUCCGAGCGUCAUUUCAACCCUCGAACCCCUCCGGGGGGUCGGCGUUGGGGAUCGGCCCUUUACGGGGCCGGCCCCGAAAUACAGUGGCGGUCUCGCCGCAGCCUCUCCUGCGCAGUAGUUUGCACACUCGCAUCGGGAGCGCGGCGCGUCCACAGCCGUUAAACACCCCAAACUUCUGAAAUGUUGACCUCGGAUCAGGUAGGAAUACCCGCUGAACUUAAGCAUAUCAAAAGCCCGGAGGAA
Molecule: ribosomal RNA, 586 nt
Filed under: Trichoderma virens
Lineage: Eukaryota; Fungi; Ascomycota; Sordariomycetes; Hypocreales; Hypocreaceae
Description: eukaryotic LSU rRNA
Rfam family: 5.8S ribosomal RNA (bases 201-354)
Source: RNAcentral